UACGGGGGGGGCAAGCGUUGUUCGGAAUUACUGGGCGUAAAGGGCUCGUAGGUGGCCAACUAAGUCAGACGUGAAAUCCCUCGGCUUAACCGAGGAACUGCCAUCCAGACUGCUUUGCUUGAGGCCGGGAGAGGUAAGUGGAAUUCCCAGUGUAGCGGUGAAAUGCGUAGAUAUUGGGAGGAACACCAGUGGCGAAGGCGGCUUACUGGACCGGUUCUGACGCUGAGGCGCGAAAGCGUGGGGAGCAAACGGG
Molecule: ribosomal RNA, 253 nt
Filed under: uncultured bacterium
Lineage: Bacteria
Description: partial 16S ribosomal RNA
Rfam family: Bacterial small subunit ribosomal RNA
Source: RNAcentral